RNAcentral lists this non-coding RNA (940 nucleotides) under Mantidactylus guttulatus. RNAcentral describes it as "12S ribosomal RNA". It matches the Rfam family "Bacterial small subunit ribosomal RNA". The record is from RNAcentral. Lineage: Eukaryota; Metazoa; Chordata; Amphibia; Anura; Mantellidae.
CAAAAGUUUGGUCCUAGCUUUACUAUCAAAUAUUUCUUAACUUACACAUGCAAGUCUCAGCACACCAGUGAGGACGCCCUUAGCCUCUCUUCCAGACAUAGGAGCCGACAUCAGGCACAGAACUCUUGCCCACAACGUCUAGUCCCACCACACCCACAAGGGUAGUCAGCAGUGAUAAAAAUUGUCCAUAAGCGCCAGCUUGAAUCAGUUAAAGAAAAAAGAGCCGGCCAACCUAGUGCCAGCCGCCGCGGCUACACCCUGGGGCUCAAAUUGAUAGUCACCGGCGUUAAGCGUGGUUAAAAAUUAAAACAACUAGAGCUAAAUUUGUACAUUAGUAGUGUAAAGCUAACUACCUAGAAACCCAAAAACGAAAGUUACUCUAAUUUAUUUGAACCCACGACAGCUGGGGCCACAAACUGGGAUCAGACACCCCACUAUGCCCAGCCGUAAAAAAUUAACUCACACCAAUAAGCGCCCGGGAAUUACGAGCACAAGCUUAAAACCCAAAGGAUUUGACGGUGUCCCACCCAUCUAGAGGAGCCUGUUCUAUAAUCGAUGAUCCUCGAUAUACCUCACCAUUUUUUGCUUUUUUCAGCCUGUAUACCUCCGUCGCAAGCUUACCAUUUGAAUGCCCCAAAGUAAGUUCAACGGGCCCCCCCGCCAAUACGUCAGGUCAAGGUGCAGCCAAUAAAAUGGAAAGCAAUGGGCUACAAUUUCUAAUAUAGAACAAACGAAAAACUACAUGAAACAUAGUCAUGAAGGCGGAUUUAGUAGUAAAAGAAGACUAGCGAGCUUCUUUUAACAAAAGGCCCUGGGACGUGUACAAACCGCCCGUCACCCUCUUCGAUAGCACCCAACUUAGCUACAUAACACCUACUCAGCACCUUAGAAGAGGCAAGUCGUAACAUGGUAAGUGUACUGGAAAGUGCACUUGGUUAAA